RNAcentral lists this ribosomal RNA (477 nucleotides) under uncultured soil bacterium. RNAcentral describes it as "bacterial SSU rRNA". It matches the Rfam family "Bacterial small subunit ribosomal RNA", at positions 26 to 518 of the family's 1533-position model. The record is from RNAcentral.
AGGAUAAACGCUGGCGGCGUGCAUGAGACAUGCAAGUCGAACGGACUUUCUCGGGCUUGCUCGAGAAAGUUAGUGGCGGACGGCUGAGUAACGCGUAGGUGACCUGUCCCGAAGUGGGGAAUAACUGCCCGAAAGGGUGGCUAAUACCGCAUGUGAUCGCUCAUUCGGUUGGGCGAUCAAAGCAGUAAUGCGCUUUGGGAGGGGCCUGCGUCCGAUUAGCUCGUUGGUGGGGUAAUGGCUCACCAAGGCGACGAUCGGUAGGUGGUCUGAGAGGACGAUCACCCAGACUGGGACUGAGACACGGCCCAGACUCCUACGGGAGGCAGCAGUCGGGAAUUUUUGCUCAAUGGACGAAAGUCUGAAGCAGCAACGCCGCGUGAGGGAUGAAGGCCUUCGGGUUGUAAACCUCUUUUGUCAGGACGAUUAUGACGGUACCUGGACGAAUAACGCCACGGCUAACUACGUGCCAGCAGCCGC